ACUUACGGCCAUAUCACGCUGAAAGCACCGGUUCUCUUCUGAUCACCGAAGUUAAGCAACUUCGAGCCUAGUGAGUACUUAGAUGGGUGACCGCUUGGGAAACCUAGGUGCUGUAAGCA
Non-coding RNA from Octopus bimaculoides (California two-spot octopus), 119 nucleotides. The record is from Rfam. NCBI's taxonomy places the organism in Eukaryota, Metazoa, Mollusca, Cephalopoda, Octopoda, Octopodidae.